GCUAUUGCGGAAAGCAAGAACAGAUUUAAUCAAGAACAGCUGAAUCAAUAUGCUAAAAUCAAUUUUCUUGCUACGCGCCAGUCUCUGCAAGUAAACACCAGUUUACCUGGAACAUCAGCGAAAGGACAACAAACUUCCAAUGACUCGUACUCUAAUAAUAACAUACCACUUGUGUAAUGAGGGCAUCCCUAUCACCAAUCGACCAAGAACUGUUUGGAGAUAAUUAAGUUGAUCCAUUAGAUCCAUUAGCUAAUGAUCCUUUAGCAAAUUCACUCCUGAAGAACCUAUAGUUCCACGUCAUGAGGCACCUGCAGGUUCUCCACAUUUACGUGAUCCGAUAAAUGGAAUACGAGAUAGAAAUAUAAUCCGUAACCCACGAAGGCUUUUUGUACAAAGGCCUGUGGAACCUGUCGCAGUUGAUCCAGAUGAGCGAGAAAUAAAUUUAUACAUUACUCCUGAUGCUACAGAUGUUGAUCCUGAAGGAAAAGUAAAGUAUCAAAUCGAUAACAAUAUGAUUUAUUUGGGCAAUGGUACAUCCGUCAACACAGAAUUCUGGGAAUUCCUCAAAACACGUGGAGAUUACAUAUUUCUGAGAGAAACGGCGGAACUUGUUUGUAUCAAACAAAAACUUGUUAAUAGAUGUAUUAAGCCGUCAAAAGUAUCAAUUAACAUACGGAACCGAAGUCCUCGAAAAGUGAUUACACCAAGAAAAUAUUUUUUGGUCAGAGAAUUAUUCAAAGAUUACAUGGAAGAGAGAAAGUACAAUGACGCAAAGAAAAGAGAAUUAAUUUCCAAAUUUAAUCGCCAACUAGGUUAUAAAAUCAAGGACUUGAGAAGAUCAUUUUCAAAGACUUCAAAAAAAUAAUUUUAGUUUUAAGUAUUUCACAAGCGAGUUAUUCUAAUAUUUAUUAAUGGUUAUUGUUUAAAAACAAUAUUCUAUGUUUCAUUGAAAAUUUCAUAAUUUUCUAUAGGUUAUUAACCAAAGAGUUGAGGUCUAUCUGUAAGUGUUUGUAGACUUACAAAAAAUAAUUCUAUUCUUAAGUAUUUCACAAACGAGAUUAAUCAUUAUUGUUUAAAAACAAUAUUCUGUAUUUGAUUGAAAGUUCCAUAAUUUUAAAUCAUUAACCAAAGAGUUGAGGUUUAUCUGCA
Long non-coding RNA from Nasonia vitripennis (jewel wasp), 1149 nucleotides. RefSeq lists it as uncharacterized. The record is from RefSeq and is a predicted model, not a curated record. The transcript has 5 exons. Lineage: Eukaryota; Metazoa; Arthropoda; Insecta; Hymenoptera; Pteromalidae.